This 460-nucleotide ribosomal RNA is filed under the name uncultured bacterium. RNAcentral's name for it is "partial 16S ribosomal RNA". It matches the Rfam family "Bacterial small subunit ribosomal RNA", at positions 338 to 795 of the family's 1533-position model. The record is from RNAcentral.
CCUACGGGAGGCUGCAGUGGGGAAUAUUGGUCAAUGGACGAGAGUCUGAACCAGCCAAGUAGCGUGAAGGAUGACUGCCCUAUGGGUUGUAAACUUCUUUUAUAUGGGAAUAAAAUGUUCCACGUGUGGGAUUUUGUAUGUACCAUAUGAAUAAGGAUCGGCUAACUCCGUGCCAGCAGCCGCGGUAAUACGGAGGAUCCGAGCGUUAUCCGGAUUUAUUGGGUUUAAAGGGAGCGUAGGUGGAUUGUUAAGUCAGUUGUGAAAGUUUGCGGCUCAACCGUAAAAUUGCAGUUGAAACUGGCAGUCUUGAGUACAGUAGAGGUGGGCGGAAUUCGUGGUGUAGCGGUGAAAUGCUUAGAUAUCACGAAGAACUCCGAUUGCGAAGGCAGUUCACUGGACUGCAACUGACACUGAGGCUCGAAAGUGUGGGUAUCAAACAGGAUUAGAUACCCGAGUAGUC